ACUGGUUGUAUAGUGGUUAUUGUUCACGAUGUACGUAAAUUGCAACGUUUGAAACUAAAUAUAAAUUCACAAGAAUCAUCCGGACGUCUAAUGUUCAACCUCGAGCAAUAAUUAGAAAACGCACUGGAUGAUGAAAGUGUCAUAUUUUUGGAGAACACGUGUAGUCGACGAAUAAAGACGGCGUCGUGUUAUUUUUACCUCGUGGAUUCACGUUUUUGCAAAACGGGAGCCGGCAUUGACUCAGAUGUCGAGAAGUUGUUAAAUCAGGAUUUACCGAAAUUCCUCGCCAGUCAGCCAAUGAUAUUCCCACUAACAUUGAGAUAUCAGACGACCGAGCAGA
This 340-nucleotide unclassified non-coding RNA is filed under the name Bombus terrestris (buff-tailed bumblebee). Its description in RNAcentral is "misc RNA ENSBTSG00005024583.1". Lineage: Eukaryota; Metazoa; Arthropoda; Insecta; Hymenoptera; Apidae. The record is from RNAcentral.